Molecule: long non-coding RNA, 152 nt
Organism: Octopus sinensis (East Asian common octopus)
Lineage: Eukaryota; Metazoa; Mollusca; Cephalopoda; Octopoda; Octopodidae
Exons: 5
Source: RefSeq, a predicted model, not a curated record
GUGGUCUACAUAUCUCAUAAAGCCUAUACAUACGCUUGUACUCUGAGUAGGCCUCUCUGUUAUAACUGGUUUAUAUUAAAGGAUAAAGAUAUUGUGAGUCGGAAUCAGAUAACCAUGCAAAGAACACAUUUUACUCCCGAAUUGAAAGGCAG